Molecule: ribosomal RNA, 467 nt
Filed under: uncultured bacterium
Lineage: Bacteria
Description: partial 16S ribosomal RNA
Rfam family: Bacterial small subunit ribosomal RNA
Source: RNAcentral
GACGAACGCUGGCGGCGUGCUUAACACAUGCAAGUCGAACGGAAAGGCCCUGCUUUUGUGGGGUGCUCGAGUGGCGUACGGGUGAGUAACACGUGAGUAACCUGCCCUUGACUUUGGGAUAACUUCAGGAAACUGGGGCUAAUACCGGAUAGGAGCUCCUGCUGCAUGGUGGGGGUUGGAAAGUUUCGGCGGUUGGGGAUGGACUCGCGGCUUAUCAGCUUGUUGGUGGGGUAGUGGCUUACCAAGGCUUUGACGGGUAGCCGGCCUGAGAGGGUGACCGGCCACAUUGGGACUGAGAUACGGCCCAGACUCCUACGGGAGGCAGCAGUGGGGAAUAUUGCACAAUGGGCGGAAGCCUGAUGCAGCAACGCCGCGUGCGGGAUGACGGCCUUCGGGUUGUAAACCGCUUUCGCCUGUGACGAAGCGUGAGUGACGGUAAUGGGUAAAGAAGCACCGGCUAACUACGU